Long non-coding RNA from Lytechinus pictus (painted urchin), 1396 nucleotides. RefSeq lists it as uncharacterized. The transcript has 4 exons. Lineage: Eukaryota; Metazoa; Echinodermata; Echinoidea; Temnopleuroida; Toxopneustidae. The record is from RefSeq and is a predicted model, not a curated record.
AGCAAGUGGAGAUAGACGACGAUAAAUAGAUUUGUACGAAAAGAAAAGAAGCUAGAAGCGAAGCGUGGAAUAUCGGUAUUUGCCGAGCUGUGAGAACAUCUAAAUUUUUGAAUGGAUGAAAACAUCUUACAACAUGCACAGGCUGUCCUAAGAUACUAUGAAAGGAGGAUUGUUAGAGAGUCUAACUCAACAGGAAUAUGCCAACCAGAACUGCAGUUAGGAGUCAUUGGCAGGAGGAACCUUUGUGACUUGUACGAAGAUGAAGCUUUCAAGCACAGAAUUGCUUUUCUAAAGAGACCACUCGCUACCUUAUCAUCAUGCUUGAAGGUGAUCUGAGCCUGAGGAGGGACGAAGGGCCUAGUGAUCGACUACCUUUGUUUCUGCAAGUAUUGACAAUUCUGCGUUUGUAUGCUGAUAAUUUCAGGGAAUACAGGGUGAUGAGGCAUCAGUGUUGCAAUCAUCUGUUUGUUGAGUGAUCAGAUGUUUCGCAAGCCAUAGCCAGAAGAAAGGUUUUGUGAGAACUUGAGAUUGAGGCUACCCAACAACAACUGUUUGAGUACCAGUACAGUACUACAGGAAUUCAAGAGUCAUAGGUGUGUUCGAUGGGACCCAUGUCUACAUAUCCUGGAGGGAAACAAGCUUUGUACUUUCUUGAUGGGCAAGUCCACCCAACAAAAAGUUUAUUUUGAUAUAAUAGAGAAAACUCCAAUGAGCAUAACACUGAAAAUUUGAUGUAAAAUGAGAAAGUUCUGACAUCUUGAAGUUUCGCUUAUUUUCACAAAACAGAUAUAUAUGCACAUCCUGGUCAUUAUGCAAAUGAGUGACCAAGUGACGUUCUCCACUCACUGUUUCUUUUUUUGUAAUAUAUCAUGAAAUAUGAUUUUUUUUUUCUCAUAAUGGCUAAUACAGGUGUAUGGUUUGAUUUCUCCCUGAAACUUGUGUAAAAAGACAAUGUGGCAACCUAUACUCAAUUGUGAAUUCUGUAAAAAAUCAAGUAUUAUAAUAUAUUUCAUAUAUUGAUAUACAGAAGAAAGAGUGAGUGUGUGACGUCAUAGACUUGUUUGCAUAUCACCUGUUUUGUGCAUAUAAGUGAUUUUUGUGAGUACCGCUAAUUAAUUUCUUAUUUUACAUCCUAUUUUGACGUUUUCAGUGUCAUGCAUGUUUUAUUUUUCUCUAUCCAUUCACAUUAACUUUUUGUUGUACAGUGGACUUGCUCUAGAACAGGUAUUUUCUGUAAUGUACAAGUAAGAAUUUCAUUAUUCAUUUGUGUCUUCUUUUUAACACCAGGCAUCGUAACUUUGAUCUCAAGAGAUGUGCAAGACUUCAAAGUAAAAAGUCGGCGAGCAGCACGGUCGUUAAAUUUCGCACAGCGGAAUGGUUGUGGAAUAUGUUGAGG